Long non-coding RNA from Strongylocentrotus purpuratus (purple sea urchin), 442 nucleotides. RefSeq lists it as uncharacterized. Lineage: Eukaryota; Metazoa; Echinodermata; Echinoidea; Camarodonta; Strongylocentrotidae. The transcript has 2 exons. The record is from RefSeq and is a predicted model, not a curated record.
UCUCCCCUCCUCCCCCUCCCCUCUCCCUCCUCCCUCCCCCCAAAAAUAUCAUGAGUCAGCGUGUGUUAUCUUGUAAUGUAGGUGUAUCUAAAAUUGUAAUUGGACAAUGUAUCACUUUAACACUCUCCUACAGACAUUAAGUAUGUAUUGGUAUGAAUGAUGAAGAUGGAAGUUGUGUGUGACAAUAAUAAUCAUUCUCAUUGGUUCAGGUUGGUUAGUGACAUCUUUGUUUUACAUGCACAGAAUUGGACUUGAUCUACAAGAAAUGAAAGUCCCGUUUCAUACUUUGUGGGAAUUCAUAUUUAUUAUUGAAAUUAUGCAUAUUUGUUUUUAAUUAGGUUUAACGAUUGAAUGUUUGCAGUGUGAAAGAGAAUUCCAUCAUUUUCUACAAAAUUGGCAACUUUGUAAUAAAGUACAUAUUCAACUCAUUUUAUACCUUCAA